AUCAGGCUCCAGUGCAGUGGGGUUUACAACUAAUUAAUCACAACCAGUUACAGAUUUAUUUGACCCCUUUCCGCUCUGACUGCUUCAUUUGACUAGACUUGA
Unclassified non-coding RNA from Chlorocebus sabaeus (green monkey), 102 nucleotides. It matches the Rfam family "Y RNA". From Rfam's summary of the family: Y RNAs are components of the Ro ribonucleoprotein particle (Ro RNP), in association with Ro60 and La proteins. The Y RNAs and Ro60 and La proteins are well conserved, but the function of the Ro RNP is not known. In humans the RNA component can be one of four small RNAs -- hY1, hY3, hY4 and hY5. Lineage: Eukaryota; Metazoa; Chordata; Mammalia; Primates; Cercopithecidae. The record is from Ensembl.